CCUCCUUUGUGCUGCCGUGGGGAAUAUUGCACAAUGGGGGAAACCCUGAUGCAGCGACGCCGCGUGAGUGAAGACGUAUUUCGGUAUGUAAAGCUCUAUCAGCAGGGAAGAAAAUGACGGUACCUGAUUAAGAAGCCCCGGCUAACUACGUGCCAGCAGCCGCGGUAACACGUUGGGGGCAAGCGUUAUCCGGAUUUACUGGGUGUAAAGGGAGCGUAGACGGCAGCGCAAGUCUGAAGUGAAAUGCCGGGGCUUAACCCCGGAACUGCUUUGGAAACUGUGCAGCUAGAGUGCAGGAGAGGUAAGUGGAAUUCCUGGUGUAGCGGUGAAAUGCGUAGAUAUUAGGAGGAACACCAGUGGCGAAGGCGGCUUACUGGACUGUAACUGACGUUGAGGCUCGAAAGCGUGGGGAGCAAACAGGAUUAGAUACCCGAGUAGUC
This 440-nucleotide ribosomal RNA is filed under the name uncultured bacterium. Its description in RNAcentral is "partial 16S ribosomal RNA". It matches the Rfam family "Bacterial small subunit ribosomal RNA", at positions 338 to 795 of the family's 1533-position model. The record is from RNAcentral.